Microplitis mediator is the source of this 598-nucleotide long non-coding RNA. RefSeq lists it as uncharacterized. The transcript is spliced from 3 exons. The record is from RefSeq and is a predicted model, not a curated record. NCBI's taxonomy places the organism in Eukaryota, Metazoa, Arthropoda, Insecta, Hymenoptera, Braconidae.
CCGUGUGGUAAAAAAUGAAAAAUUAUCGGGCUAUGUUGAUGUUUACGUUAAUUAAAAUACUUCUUAUAAUAAGUGUGGGAGGAGAAAUCAUAAAACCAUCUUGCCGAUCCGAAAACACAUUUUGCAUUCGAAAUGAUCAAUGCUGUUCAAAGAAGUGUAAUUCAGUGGAAAAUUCCGAUUAUAAUGUCUGUGUUAAUGUUUUUGGUCCUUAUGUAACAGCUCAUAAAAUUUUACUACCUCCUAAGACUAUUGUGAAAAAAAAAGGAGGGAAAAUAUAUAACUGCAUUCCAAACGGAUCAACCUGCCAAGAAAACAGCCAAUGCUGUUCUCAAUCAUGUCAAAGACUAUUUCCUUCGUUCCCACGAAAGUGUCUAAAACCAAGUAGCGAUAAAAGAAAGUCUACAAACUAAAAUUUUUAAAUAUUCACAAUAAGCGGUCAAGUACUGGAUAAAUGUAAUAAGAAAUUCAAUUCCUGUAUCCAGCAACUAAGAAAACAAUGAUCAUUUUUCAUUGCUAAUUUGGUAUUGAUGUUAAUACUGAUGUAACAUAUGCUAUUGCAUACUAUGACACAAAAUGUCAACUGGCAAAAAAUUUUAAA